Molecule: ribosomal RNA, 253 nt
Filed under: uncultured bacterium
Lineage: Bacteria
Description: partial 16S ribosomal RNA
Rfam family: Bacterial small subunit ribosomal RNA
Source: RNAcentral
UACGGAGGGUGCAAGCGUUAUCCGGAUUCACUGGGUUUAAAGGGAGCGCAGGCGGACAUGUAAGUCAGUGGUGAAAUACCUGAGCUUAACUCGGGAACUGCCAUUGAUACUAUGUGUCUUGAAUAUUGUUGAGGUUUGCGGAAUGGGUCAUGUAGCGGUGAAAUGCGUAGAUAUCGAGAGGAACACCUGCGGCGAAGGCGGGUUGCUGGGCCGACACUGACGCUGAUGCGCGAAAGCCAGGGGAGCGAACGGG